Benincasa hispida (wax gourd) is the source of this 2536-nucleotide long non-coding RNA. RefSeq lists it as uncharacterized. The record is from RefSeq and is a predicted model, not a curated record. NCBI's taxonomy places the organism in Eukaryota, Viridiplantae, Streptophyta, Magnoliopsida, Cucurbitales, Cucurbitaceae.
UCUUUUAUCUUGGGGAUUAUGUUAGGUUAGCCAAUUCUUGAGACUUUUUAACUCAAUUUUUUCUUGUAAUUUGUUGUUCUUGAAUGUUCUUGCUGUUAAUUUCAAUAAAAUCCGAUAGAAAUGGGUUGACACUUCAAUUUUGUUAGAUUUUUGUAUGCAAAACUACAUGGCUCUAUAGCAUAAUUGCAAUUAGGUUGCAAAAACUAGUGAUUUUAAUGGAAAGUUUGGACUUCUUUUCCUAUUUUUUUUAAAAGAUUUACUAGUUUAGAACAUUCAUAUUAAUCAUUAUUUUAGUCUUUUUAAUUUCAAGAAUGUCAUAGUUGAGAAAACCCAAGAAAUGCAUGCAAUUUAGGAAUUACAUGUGGAAUGUCUUUAGGAAGCUUUUAUGAACUAAAUUGGGGUUAAUUGGCUAACUAGGGUAUUAGGGCUUAGCCUUAAUGAACUAUGGAACAAUUGAAUUGCUUAAAAUGAAUUAAGUCUAUGAUAGAAUUAGGUUAAUCUACAUAAUAUUCCCGAGAUCUUUUUUCCAUUGAAUAUGUUACAUAAUUUCUUUUAUACUAUCUCUCAUUACCAAAAUUUCAUAUCAAUUCUUCUUUUACUUUUUCUUAGUUUCUUAAAACCAAUAAACCUCCACUCAAUUUUACCAAUUAAUAGAGGUUGUCCAUGGAUCGACCUUGUGCUUCCACUUUACUACGUGUUAGUAUUAGUAGUUGUGCGCAUUUUAGAAAUUCUAUUUGUUUUGGGUUAAGAUGAACUAAUGGCAUCAUUUUUAGCUCGAACAAAUUGGCCUUGUUGUCGGGGAUCCGUACAAUUGGCUUGUUUGAAUUUUGAAUUCCUUUAAAAAUAAAAAAUAAAAAAUAAGAGAAAUAAUAAAACCCAAAAAAUAGUUAGUGUGAUUAAAUUUCUUUUUGUGCAUGACCUGUUCCUUGCGGAGUGUACUUUGUGAUUUGAUUGUAGACAUUAACCGUGAGUAGAGGCGACUUCGAAGGAAAAUAACAAGAGGAGAAGAUGGAAAAUUUGAGGAGCUAAGACAAGAAGAAAAAGCAAGAGAGUACCAUGCGAGAGCUUGCGGAGCCGGAUUACAACCAUCAACCAUUGUGCAUAGUCUACCCGGAGACUACCGUUCCGUUCAAACUUAAACCAGGACUUGUGCAUCUCUUGCCUACAUUUAGAUGACAACCUGACGAGGAUCUGUACAAACACAUGAAAGAAUUUCAUCUCGUAUGGGAUGGAAUGCACCUGCAUGAGAUAACCCAAGAACAACUUAAUCUUAGGGCCUUUCCUUCUCUUUGAAGGAUGUAGCCAAAGAUUGGUUGUACUACUUACCGACAGGAUCCAUCAUUACAUUGAAUGGUUUGAAAAAGUUCAUAGAAAUUAUUUUCCCUAUAUCUAAGGCACAGAAUAUUAGAAAAGAAAUCUAUGGCAUUAAGCAAGUUGUAGGAGAGUAACUUUAUGAAUAUUGGAAAAGAUAUAAACAACUUUGUGCUUUAUUCCCUCAUUAUCAAAUUUCUUAACAAUAUCUAAUCCAAUAUUUCUGUUCAGGUUUGCUUCCAUCAGAAAGGAGCAACAUUGAUGUUGCCGUCGGAAGGGCUCUAGCUGACAAGAGACCCACCAAAGCUAGUCAACUCAUAUCCAUCGUGGUGGAAAAUUCUCAGAAUUUCGAAUCAAGGACUGUCAACCACAACAUUGGUCAGUCCAAGAGGUAAGUGAGCUUAGAACUCAAGUCUUUAAUCUUGUUUCUCUUUUUACACAGGUUUCUCAAGGUGGUCUUCCUCAUGUUAAGACAUAUGGAGCAUGUGGAGUAGUCGGACAUACCUCCGAAGCUUACCCAUAAGCUCAAGUGAAUGAUAUCGAAGGCUUCCAAAGGAAGUACGAUCCGUAUGGGAAAACCUACAAUCAAGGGUAGAGAGAUCAUGCUAACUUCAAGUGGGGAUCUCAAGGAAAAUUUGAAAACUGAAACCAAUCUUCCUCAUCAUCUUCCUCAGGAUCUUUACAAAAAGCUAAUGCAUGAUCAAGAAGUGCCAUAGGGAAAGCUCUAACGCAUGGGCUAUGCGUCUAGAGGGAAUUCAACGCAGAGAAGAUACAUUGAUCUAGACUAAUUGUGUCACAUCACCACUUGCAGUAUGGGCAUCUGCAGCAGGCGGCGUCUGAAAAGCUUCCGAGAGUCAGGAGGCUGACUAGGGCAUGGACUUUAAUGCUGCCCAUUCACCAAGUGGACAUGACCAACGCCUAUAAAUAGAUGAAGUGCCUCCAGAGUUCGAAGUCAGAGUUAGUACAUAGAAAUUAUCAAGACUCUCACUGUCUGUAAUUAGCGUAGUCGUAGUUUAAGCUGUGCUGUGGUGCCAAGACGAUCAGAAGGGUUGAGAACCACCACCAUCGCCGGUCAGGGAGCGGAGGAAGCCAAGCUUGAGAAAGAUACUUUGUCCAAAUCUUAUACAAGUGAUUGUACACAACAAAAUUGAGCCAAAGAGAUAUAAGAGAUUGUACUCUGCGGCUUGAUUCAGUUCAUUUCAUCUCAUUUAUCGCUUUCAUUGCA